UCCUCAAAGGCAUGGAACUGUUUCU
RNAcentral lists this non-coding RNA (25 nucleotides) under Rattus norvegicus (Norway rat). Lineage: Eukaryota; Metazoa; Chordata; Mammalia; Rodentia; Muridae. The record is from RNAcentral.